GUGGGCAUGCCGGAGUGGUUAUUGGGCAUGCCUAGAAAUCAUGUGGGCUUUGCUUGCGCAGGUUCGAAUCUUGCUGCUCAUG
Transfer RNA from Ipomoea nil (Japanese morning glory), 82 nucleotides. It matches the Rfam family "tRNA". From Rfam's summary of the family: Transfer RNA (tRNA) molecules are approximately 80 nucleotides in length. Their secondary structure includes four short double-helical elements and three loops (D, anti-codon, and T loops). The record is from Rfam. Lineage: Eukaryota; Viridiplantae; Streptophyta; Magnoliopsida; Solanales; Convolvulaceae.